GAUGAACGCUGGCGGCGUGCCUAAUACAUGCAAGUCGAGCGAACAGAGGAGGCUCUUGCCUCGCUUACGCGAGGGGCGGACGGGUGAUGAACACGAGGAUAACCGACCGAUAGGACUAACAUAACGUCGGGGGAGCGGAGAUAACACCGGACAAGAGAGUGAACGGGAGGGUUCAUCGGAGAAAGCGGGAUUUGCUGACCCUGAGUCAUAUUAGCUAGUUGGUGUGGUAACGGCGUACCAAGGCGACGAUCCGUAACUGGCCUGAGAGGCUGAUCAGCCACACUGGAACUGAGACACGGUCCAGACUCCUACGGGAGGCAGCAGUAGGGAAUCUUCCGCAAAGGGCGAAAGCCUGACGGAGCCACGCCGCGUGUGUGAUGAAGGUCUUCGGAUCGUAAAGCUCUGUUAGUAGGGAGGAACAAAUGUGUAUGUAACUCUGCACGUCUUGACGUUACCUACUCAGAAAGCCACGGCUAACUACGUG
RNAcentral lists this ribosomal RNA (484 nucleotides) under uncultured bacterium. RNAcentral's name for it is "partial 16S ribosomal RNA". It matches the Rfam family "Bacterial small subunit ribosomal RNA", at positions 28 to 507 of the family's 1533-position model. The record is from RNAcentral.